GUGGGGAAUCUUGCGCAAUGGGCGAAAGCCUGACGCAGCCAUGCCGCGUGAAUGAUGAAGGUCUUAGGAUUGUAAAAUUCUUUCACCGGGGACGAUAAUGACGGUACCCGGAGAAGAAGCUCCGGCUAACUUCGUGCCAGCAGCCGCGGUAAUACGAAGGGGGCUAGCGUUGCUCGGAAUUACUGGGCGUAAAGGGCGCGUAGGCGGACAGCUUAGUCAGAGGUGAAAGCCAAGGGCUCAACCUUGGAAUUGCCGUUGAUACUGGCUGUCUUGAGUUUUGGAGAGGUGAGUGGAACUCCGAGUGUAGAGGUGAAAUUCGUAGAUAUUCGGAAGAACACCAGUGGCGAAGGCGACUCACUGGCCCAAUACUGACGCUGAGGCGCGAAAGCGUGGGGAGCAAACAGGAUUAGAAACCCCUGUAGUCC
This 425-nucleotide ribosomal RNA is filed under the name uncultured bacterium. RNAcentral's name for it is "partial 16S ribosomal RNA". It matches the Rfam family "Bacterial small subunit ribosomal RNA", at positions 354 to 796 of the family's 1533-position model. The record is from RNAcentral.